AGUAAUGCAACUAUGAAUCUAAUGGAGAGUUCGAUCCUAGCUGAAGAUGAAUGGAAAGUGGUGUUUCUAAUGGCUGACAAGAACUUGCCAUUAGGAAAGAACAACUGCUAAUACCUUGUAAGUUGAGGAGCAAAAGGAGGAAUUCGUUCAAUGAGGGGUUUGCGUCUGAUUAUCUAGUUGAUGAGGUAAUAUCUUACCAAUGCGAUGAUUAGUAGCUGGUCCAAGAGGAUGAUCAACCACGCUAGGACUAAGACAUGGUCUAGACUUCUACGGGAGGCAAGAGUAGGGAAUUUUCCACAAUGGGUGAAAGCCACCUUAUUGG
Molecule: non-coding RNA, 322 nt
Filed under: Gossypium hirsutum (cotton)
Lineage: Eukaryota; Viridiplantae; Streptophyta; Magnoliopsida; Malvales; Malvaceae
Description: Bacterial small subunit ribosomal RNA
Rfam family: Bacterial small subunit ribosomal RNA
Source: Rfam by way of RNAcentral